AUUGAACGCUGGCGGCAGGCCUAACACAUGCAAGUCGAGCGAGCGGCGGACGGGUGAGUAAUGUAUGGGGACUGCCCGGUCGUUGGGGCUAACUACUGGAAACGGUAGCUAAUUCCGCAUCCUUUCGGAUAACCCAUCUGUGCUUAGCUAGUAGGUGAGGUAAUGGCUAAGCUAGGCGACGCUCCCUAGCUGGUCUGAGAGGGGGAUCAGCCACACUGGGACUGAGACACGGCCCAGACUCCUACGGAGGCAGCAGUGGGGAAUAGUGCACAAGGGGCGCAAGCCUGAUGCAGCCAUGCCGCGUGUAUGAAGAAGGCCCGAGGGUUGUAAAGUACUUUCAGUCGGGAGGCGGUACCGAAAGAAGAAGCACCGGCUAACUCCGUGCCAGCAGCCGCGGUAAUUC
RNAcentral lists this ribosomal RNA (403 nucleotides) under uncultured bacterium. Its description in RNAcentral is "partial 16S ribosomal RNA". It matches the Rfam family "Bacterial small subunit ribosomal RNA", at positions 30 to 526 of the family's 1533-position model. The record is from RNAcentral.